GGAGGGGGCAAGCGUUGUUCGGAAUUACUGGGCGUAAAGGGCGCGUAGGCGACCUGAUUAGUCAGGCGUGAAAUCCCAUGGCUUAACUAUGGAAUUGCGCUUGAUACUGUCAGGCUUGAGUACAGGAGAGGAGAGUGGAAUUCCUAGUGUAGCGGUGAAAUGCACAGAUAUUAGGAGGAACACCAGUGGCGAAGGCGACUCUCUGGCCUGAUACUGACGCUGAGGUGCGAAAGCGUGGGGAGCGAACGGGAUUAGAUACCCCGGUAGUCCACGCUGUAAACGAUGGGUACUAGGUGUAGGGGGUUAUGAAACCUUCUGUGCCGGAGCUAACGCAUUAAGUACCCCCGCCUGGGAGUACGAUCGCAAGAUUG
Molecule: ribosomal RNA, 371 nt
Filed under: uncultured organism
Description: partial 16S ribosomal RNA
Rfam family: Bacterial small subunit ribosomal RNA
Source: RNAcentral